This 556-nucleotide unclassified non-coding RNA is filed under the name Hevea brasiliensis (rubber tree). Lineage: Eukaryota; Viridiplantae; Streptophyta; Magnoliopsida; Malpighiales; Euphorbiaceae. The record is from RNAcentral.
GUGUUUUCUCCACAGCUAACAACUUUAAACGCAGGAUGGCUGUUCGAAAAACUUGGAUGCAGUAUGCUGCAGUUCGGUCAGGAACUGUAGCAGUGCGCUUUUUUGUUGGUUUGCAUAAAAAUCAGUUAGUUAAUGAGGAACUUUGGAAUGAAGCACGAACAUAUGGAGACAUACAGAUUAUGCCUUUUGUUGACUAUUACAACCUCAUCACAUGGAAAACUUUAGCCAUCUGCAUCUUUGGGACACAGGUUGCAUCAGCAAAUUAUGUCAUGAAGACAGAUGAUGAUGCAUUUGUUCGAGUAGAUGAGGUGCUAGAUUCUUUAAAGAGGAUCAAAGUGAGAAAUGGCUUGCUUUAUGGACUCAUCAACUCAGACUCCCACCCUCAUCGGAGUCCCGAUAGCAAAUGGUAUAUUAGCCUUGAGGAAUGGCCUGAAGAGAGAUACCCCCCUUGGGCACAUGGUCCUGGCUAUGUGGUGUCCCGAGACAUAGCAAAGGAAGUUUACAGGAGACAUAAAGAAGGUCAUUUGAAGAUUUUUAAGCUAGAAGAUGUGGCAAU